RNAcentral lists this ribosomal RNA (501 nucleotides) under uncultured soil bacterium. RNAcentral's name for it is "bacterial SSU rRNA". It matches the Rfam family "Bacterial small subunit ribosomal RNA", at positions 26 to 506 of the family's 1533-position model. The record is from RNAcentral.
AGAACGAACGCUGGCGGCGUGGAUAAGACAUGCAAGUCGAACGGGAUUACUUUUGGUAGCAAUACCGAAAGUAAUUCAGUGGCGAACGGGUGCGUAACACGUGGGCAAUCUGCCGAAAAGUGGGGGAUAGCUCGCCGAAAGGCGAAUUAAUACCGCAUGUGGUGAGGGACGACAUCUUCCUGAAUCCAAAGCCGGGGCAACCUGGCGCUUUUUGAGGAGCCCGCGGCCUAUCAGCUUGUUGGUGAGGUAACGGCUCACCAAGGCUUUGACGGGUAGCUGGUCUGAGAGGACGACCAGUCACACUGGAACUGAGACACGGUCCAGACACCUACGGGUGGCAGCAGUCGAGAAUUUUCUCAAUGGGGGCAACCCUGAAGGAGCGACGCCGCGUGGAGGAUGAAGGCUUUCGGGUGUAAACUCCGUGUCAUUUGAGAACAAGUGCCAACAAGUAACUACUGUUGGCUUGAUAGUAUCAGAAGAGGAAGGACGGACUAACUCUGU